GAUGAAGAACGCAGCGAACUGCGAUAAGUAAUGUGAAUUGCAGAAUUCAGUGAAUCAUCGAGUCUUUGAACGCACAUUGCGCCCCCUGGCAUUCCGGGGGGCAUGCCUGUCCGAGCGUCAUUGCUGCCCUUCAAGCCCGGCUUGUGUGUUGGGUCGUCGUCCCCCCCGGGGGACGGGCCCGAAAGGCAGCGGCGGCACCGCGUCCGGUCCUAGAGCGUAUGGGGCUUUGUCACCCGCUCGAUUAGGGCCGGCCGGGCGCCAGCCGGCGUCUCCAACCUUCUAUUUUACCAGGUUGACCUCGGAUCAGGUAGGGAUACCCGCUGAACUUAAGCAUAUCAAUAAGCGGAGGA
RNAcentral lists this unclassified non-coding RNA (350 nucleotides) under soil metagenome. RNAcentral's name for it is "partial contains 5.8S ribosomal RNA, internal transcribed spacer 2, and large subunit ribosomal RNA". The stretch from base 1 to 120 matches the Rfam family "5.8S ribosomal RNA", at positions 35 to 154 of the family's 154-position model. The record is from RNAcentral.